GCGUUAUCCGGAUUCACUGGGUUUAAAGGGUGCGUAGGUGGGAAUGUAAGUCAGGGGUGAAAUCUCUGAGCUUAACUCAGAAACUGCCAUUGAUACUAUGUUUCUUGAAUUUUCUGGUGGUCAGCGGAAUAUGUCAUGUAGCGGUGAAAUGCUUAGAUAUGACAUAGAACACCAAUUGCGGAGGCAGCUGGCUGCAGCGAUAUUGACACUGAGGCACGAAAGCGUG
This 226-nucleotide ribosomal RNA is filed under the name uncultured bacterium. RNAcentral describes it as "partial 16S ribosomal RNA". It matches the Rfam family "Bacterial small subunit ribosomal RNA", at positions 538 to 763 of the family's 1533-position model. The record is from RNAcentral.